RNAcentral lists this ribosomal RNA (1354 nucleotides) under uncultured Verrucomicrobiota bacterium. RNAcentral's name for it is "uncultured Verrucomicrobia bacterium partial 16S ribosomal RNA". It matches the Rfam family "Bacterial small subunit ribosomal RNA", at positions 29 to 1393 of the family's 1533-position model. Lineage: Bacteria; Pseudomonadati; Verrucomicrobiota. The record is from RNAcentral.
AUGAACGCUGGCGGUAUGCUUAACACAUGCAAGUCGAACGAAAGCUUUAUGCUUUAGUGGCGAACGGGUGCGUAAUACGUGAGAAUCUGCCCUUAGGAGGAGAAUAACUUCUGGAAACGGUUGCUAAGUCUCCAUAUGCCGAGAGGUAAAAUAGUUUACACUGCCUAGGGAUGAGCUCACGCCUGAUUAGCUUGUUGGUAAGGUAAUGGCUUACCAAGGCCACGAUCAGUAGCUGGUUUGAGAGGACGGUCGGCCACACUGGAACUGAGACACGGUCCAGACACCUACGGGUGGCAGCAGUCGAGAAUCAUUCACAAUGGGGGAAACCCUGAUGGUGCGACGCCGCGUGGGGGAUGAAUGGCUUCGGUCAGUAAACCCCUGUCAUUAGUGAACAAACCUUUUAGGGUAAUACCUUAAAAGCUGAUAGUAGCUAAAGAGGAAGGGACGGCUAACUCUGUGCCAGCAGCCGCGGUAAUACAGAGGUCCCAAGCGUUGUUCGGAUUCACUGGGCGUAAAGAGUGCGUAGGUGGUUAGGUAAGUUUGAUGUGAAAGCUCCGAGCUCAACUCGGAAAUUGCAUUGAAAACUGCUUGACUAGAGGGUCGGAAGGGAGACUGGAAUUUUCGGUGUAGCAGUGAAAUGCGUAGAUAUCGAGAGGAACACCAGUGGCGAAGGCGAGUCUCUGGACGAAUCCUGACACUGAGGCACGAAAGCUAGGGGAGCAAACAGGAUUAGAUACCCUGGUAGUCCUAGCCGUAAACGGUGCACACUUGCUAUGAGCGGAUUCGACCCCGUUCGUGGCGUAGCUAACGCGUUAAGUGUGCCGCCUGGGGAGUACGGUCGCAAGAUUAAAACUCAAAGAAAUUGACGGGGGCCUGCACAAGCGGUGGAGUAUGUGGCUUAAUUCGAUGCAACGCGAAGAACCUUACCUGGCCCUGACAUGCUUGUGGUAAAACCCUGAAAGGGGAAUGACCUCGCAAGAGGAGCUUGCACAGGUGCUGCAUGGCUGUCGUCAGCUCGUGUCGUGAGAUGUUGGGUUAAGUCCCGCAACGAGCGCAACCCUUGUGUCCUGUUGCCACCCGAGCUUCGGCUCGGAGCACUCUGGACAGACUGCCUCGCUUAAACGAGGAGGAAGGUGGGGAUGACGUCAAGUCAGUAUGGCCCUUACGGCCAGGGCUGCACACGUACUACAAUGCCUAAUACAAUGGGACGCAAUACCGCGAGGUGGAGCAAAUCCUUAAAAUUGGGCCCAGUUCGGAUUGUAGUCUGCAACUCGACUACAUGAAGCCGGAAUCGCUAGUAAUGGGGCAUCAGCUACGGCCCCGUGAAUACGUUCCCAGGCCUUGUACACACCGC